This 759-nucleotide ribosomal RNA is filed under the name Vibrio sp. a174. Its description in RNAcentral is "bacterial SSU rRNA". It matches the Rfam family "Bacterial small subunit ribosomal RNA", at positions 309 to 1061 of the family's 1533-position model. Lineage: Bacteria; Pseudomonadati; Pseudomonadota; Gammaproteobacteria; Vibrionales; Vibrionaceae. The record is from RNAcentral.
CACACUGGACUGAGACACGGUCCAGACUCCUACGGGAGGCAGCAGUGGGGAAUAUUGCACAAUGGGCGAAAGCCUGAUGCAGCCAUGCCGCGUGUAUGAAGAAGGCCUUCGGGUUGUAAAGUACUUUCAGUUGUGAGGAAGGGUGUGUAGUUAAUAGCUGCGCAUCUUGACGUUAGCAACAGAAGAAGCACCGGCUAACUCCGUGCCAGCAGCCGCGGUAAUACGGAGGGUGCGAGCGUUAAUCGGAAUUACUGGGCGUAAAGCGCAUGCAGGUGGUUCAUUAAGUCAGAUGUGAAAGCCCGGGGCUCAACCUCGGAACUGCAUUUGAAACUGGUGAACUAGAGUGCUGUAGAGGGGGGUAGAAUUUCAGGUGUAGCGGUGAAAUGCGUAGAGAUCUGAAGGAAUACCAGUGGCGAAGGCGGCCCCCUGGACAGACACUGACACUCAGAUGCGAAAGCGUGGGGAGCAAACAGGAUUAGAUACCCUGGUAGUCCACGCCGUAAACGAUGUCUACUUGGAGGUUGUGGCCUUGAGCCGUGGCUUUCGGAGCUAACGCGUUAAGUAGACCGCCUGGGGAGUACGGUCGCAAGAUUAAAACUCAAAUGAAUUGACGGGGGCCCGCACAAGCGGUGGAGCAUGUGGUUUAAUUCGAUGCAACGCGAAGAACCUUACCUACUCUUGACAUCCAGAGAAGCCAGCGGAGACGCAGGUGUGCCUUCGGGAGCUCUGAGACAGGUGCUGCAUGGCUGUCGUCAGCUC